GUUCACAAUGCAAAUAACAUGUAUUUGUGAUUGCCUAAUCUCUGCUAUUUAUUAUAUCUUGAUGUUUCAAUUUGCAAUAUUAUAACCUGAUGAGGUCUAAUGUAAUGUUUCUCUCACCAAUUUCAACUAGCAGAAGAUUUACAUAACAAAAGAUCCUUAAAGCUAUCGUUAUCUGCUUAAAUAAUGAAAGAUCCUUAAAACUGUCAUUAAGAUGCUAAUGUGUUUCUUAAUAUAUAUUUUAUGUUGUUCUCAGUUUAUAGCAUGAUUAAUUGUUUCAUACUGCUAAAAUUUGACAUACUAUUGAAGUUGAAUUAUGUUGGAAGAUUAAUAGUGCAUAAUUUUG
Molecule: unclassified non-coding RNA, 343 nt
Filed under: Hevea brasiliensis (rubber tree)
Lineage: Eukaryota; Viridiplantae; Streptophyta; Magnoliopsida; Malpighiales; Euphorbiaceae
Source: RNAcentral